This 3003-nucleotide long non-coding RNA is filed under the name Canis lupus familiaris (dog). RNAcentral describes it as "lncRNA (ENSCAFG00000054170.1)". The record is from RNAcentral. Lineage: Eukaryota; Metazoa; Chordata; Mammalia; Carnivora; Canidae.
UUUUGACAAUCUUGAAUAAUUUUUAUUUCUCAGUUGUUGGGGAGAUAAAGUUAAGCAAUCCACUGUCCUCUCUCAGACAGGUAUACAAAGACAUUCACGGAGAUGCUACUUAGGUACAAAUGUAUUCAUUUCAGUGUUAGUUACAUCAGUGGGAACACUGAAAAUGAAAAGAAUGCCCCCAAAUAUCAGAAUGGUAGAAUUACAUGCAGCUAUUAAAAUUAUAUUUUCAAAGAAUGGUCAUUAAGAGGUUAAUACAUGUAUUUACAUUAUGUAGAUUGUGUGAUUCCAAUUCCCUAAAACAUUUGUUAUUUAAAAUUUUACUCUAAUUGCCAAUACAUAAAAAAUGAGAGGAGAUAGAUCAAAAUAAUGUCAAGAUUUGGCUCUUUUAUGUAUGCAUUUUGCAUUUUUUUCUCACAGUUUUUCAAAUGAUCUAAAAUCACAUACUACUUUGUAAUCAUAAAAAUUUAACAUUAUGUAUAAAAUAAAUAAGUAUGCUGAAUUAGGUCCUCUUAAUUCUCAAAUUUAUUUUUAUAUGAAAACUGAUCAGUGAAAGGGAAAUCUUACUAUAUUGAGAGCAAAUUUUCAAUAAUAUUUUUGACAUUUCUUUCAAGUCUUAUCCUGAAUACUAUUUUCAUGGUGAAUGGAGGAAAAGAAGUAAAUCUCUAGUGUUCCUUGGUUCUUCUCUCAACUUACCUGUUUUGUUUUGUUUUGUUUUGUUUUGUUUUUUCUUGGAAGACAGAAGCAAAACCUCUGUGCUUUGUGGGCAGAGGGGAGGUGCACAUGCGCAUGCAUGCACCUGCGUGUGUAUUUAACUUCUAUUGCCUUUGGAUCUUCUCUUAUGGCCACUCCAAUUGCUCUGGAGUCAAGGUGACUUUGGCUAUGAUUCCCAUGAGUUAGAGGGACAUGGUCAAAGGACGUUUUUCUAAGGCUUUAAAUCUCAAGAACCCAUAAGCAAGGAGGAAAUCCACAAAUCCCACUUCUACAGAAUAAGAACACGAUAAAAUGCACCCACUCUCCAAGGGAUUUUUGAAUGAAGGGAUUUUACUAGACAUUAAUUUUCUCUUUCUUUAUAUUUGUUAUAGGAACUACAUACUUACUUAAAAAUCGAUGUGGACAAACCCUAUACUUUGAAAUUGUGUUGAAACCCAAGCCAAUUGCCAUUGUAUUUUUCUGCUUCCAUUUUGUCUCCCUAUCUCCCUUUUCCUCUCUUUCUCUGUUCCUUCCUUUUCUCUUGUCUUUCUUUUAGAGUCAGUGCCAGACAGCUUUGCUUCAGUUCCUGCUUUUGUCUCCCACCACUCCCUUCUUCUCCGGGCUGCUUUCCCACGUUUCACAGUGAAUUUCAAUGUGCGGGGGUGGGCGAUAAACAGGGAGGGCCACUAAAAACCACCCUUCUAGAAGCUUAUGUGUUUCAGAGCCUGUGAAAUCCUCCCUGGCCUCGGAGAUUUUAAAUUGUUUCAAUCUAUAUUUUCUUUGUCUUUUAUGCUUCUAAAGCUUCACAUCCAAUAGCCACAUUUGUAUCCAAAGCAUGGAUUUUUAAAAGUUUGACAAAGCUGAUCCCGUGGAUUCAAUUUCCAUAAAUCCCUUAAAGUGUCUGACCAACUUUUCUCAUUUUGCAAAAACGUCUAACAAAAUCACAGGGGAAAACAAUUGUUCUUGACAUCACAACAGUUUAAUAUGUUAACUUAUUCAUUAAAUUGUGCUUCACAUCAAUGGAGAUCCUCAGUUCUACAAACUAUCAUUUUUUAAAUAGCAAUAAGGGUUGAUAAUGUCACAAUACAAUCUCCUAGUACCCGAGUUCAUACAUAUUAUUACACAGAAACGAAAGGAAAUAUCUCUUAGGUGAAAUAAUUUACUAUCUAUUGAAUAACUAACUAUCUUUACAUCUAAAAUGGGGCACCAGAUAAAAGUCUAGACUUUUCUUUCCAACAUUUUCAUCUUUGAUACAUUAAAUGAAAAAUAAUGCAAAACAAAACCCAGAAAGUACUUCCAGGGGACCAAAAAAAAAAAAAAAAGGAAAGGAUAGAAAAGGAAAGAAAAAACAGCCACGUGAUCAAAAACAAAAGAAAUGACAGGUUGGUGGAAGGCAAAUAUGGCAAUAACUAAAUCACACAAACUCUGCUUCCUUAGAACAUGGUUUUUCCCUGGCAAGAACUGAGGUUUUUCAGCACUGACAUCUGGCCCUUUGAUGAGUUCCCACCAGUGCAGCAGAACAUGGACCGUGCAGAGGCUCCACUUCAUGUGUCAAAGGAUGACAGUCGCAGUCUUUUUUAUAGAUAGCUUAGAACACAGCCUUAAGAAACAACUGUUCUUUGGUGCUCUCAGAUCGGGAGUUGGGUUACCUUGAGUCCUUGUGUGCAAGUUCAGGGGCUUUUGUCUUGCAGAUGUUGCUGGUGUUCAUGGCAAGGCCAGUCCUCUGGAGAUCUCAGCACUUCUGCAAGGUAGUUUGAUUCGGCCAAUGUGUGGUGUGGAUGGGUCCAUGUGUGUUCCAUCCAUGAGGCUACAAAAUGCACAGGUCUCAGAACCUACCCACUUGCCCAGAAGGGCUCAUUCAAAGUUGUAGGAGAACUAAUUCGUUCAGAUGUGUCCAGGUGAAAUGUGGUGAGAGGAUGGAAGGAUUACUUUUGGUAGAGAAUGGAGGAGGGGGAUGAAGGAGGUGACUCGAGAAGGAAGCCCUGCAUGCUCCCCAGAGGUGACACAGUCAGGUGCAGUCGUCAGCCUCAGCCAGCCCUGAGGCCCAGCCAGGAGAUGUUCAGUGGGAGUUCUGAUGUUCAGUGGAGGCGCACUAACCAUGGAAAUAGAAAGCCUUGGAGACAGGCUUUCUGUGAUCUGAUCGGAUCAGGGUAUUCUUUGCCUCAGUCCACUCCAGCUUUCCCUCUGACCCGACCCCUCCCACGCAUUCAGCCUUUAUUUCAGUCCCUAGAAUGCUGUCAGUGCUCUGGUCCUGUUUCAUGAGCCUCAUGCUCUUGUCAGCUAUUUCAAAUGGUCCAAAGACUUAUAGUCCAC